This is a long non-coding RNA of Gasterosteus aculeatus aculeatus (three-spined stickleback), 1524 nucleotides long. NCBI's taxonomy places the organism in Eukaryota, Metazoa, Chordata, Actinopteri, Perciformes, Gasterosteidae. The record is from Ensembl.
AGACAGCCACAUUAACGAGUAAAAGACCUUUCAAAGUGGAACUUUGAAUAUUUCUUCCUUAAGGAACUGACUACAAAACACAAAAAAAGCCAUCUGCAACAACAUUAUGUCUACUUCUGCUCUUGUUGUGUACAUUUCCUCAUAGGAACAUGCAAUAUCAAUGGGAGGACAACCCACGACUAUGCAUCAAUCAUUUAGAUGACACGGUACUUAUUGUGGGGGAUAUUUUUGCUCGGUAUUGAAUCAGCAGGACCUUGUCUCUAUACGAUGCCCUCCAGUCCACAGGAUCAUCAACAACAGACAGCGGGCCGAGUGCUGAAAGGAAAGGAGCGCAAAUGAAAGGAAAGGAAAUCUCCUGGUCUGUCUUCCUGGAGAGCACCUGUGGCGAGGGGGAAGAAUGAGAGGCAGAGGGCAAGGAGGGAAGCACCUCUGCCCUUUCCCGCCCUCCACUGUCCCAUCAGACAAUAGUCGAAAUGUAAAAACUAGACUGGAUGAUGACCAGGAAUAUGUUGCUGGAGGUCAAUUUCAAACAGACCCGUACAAAACUUUAUCAACUGCAUUUUCUCAUAAGACUUUUUCUCAUAUGCAGCAAUUUUGUAAUCUUUAACAAAGGAAUCAAUCAAGACUAAAUGAUCAUGUGCAGUUAUACUAUUAAUUGACUGACUGUUCAAGCCUUACUUUGUAAAAUAAGGAUAUUUUGGUUCAUUAUUGUUGCAAAUUGGAUGUCUUUGUUUUUAUGACUGUUGAUGGGUCAAAACAAGCUUCACAUGCAAAGCUGAGAAUCAAAUCUAUUUUCUUUUCCCACAUCUAGCUACAUUGAUUGUUUAUCGAGGUGCUGUCUGUUUUUGCACAACGGUGUUGUGAUUGUAUUGAUCCAACAUAGACGCUGACAGAGUAAAAGAUCUACUGCAGCUGAGGUGGUGCUGAUGUGUUGUUUGUGAUAUGCAGCCAAGCGUAGACGACGUGUUCGUUGGAGAACAACUUCAGAUGCUGUUGGUAGUGGUUACUUUAAAAAAAACGUCAGACAAUGAGGGACUUUAUCCAACGUUCCAGCUGUCCGUCCCACAGGUAGAACUGAAAACAUGUACAGUAAAACAACUUAACUGGCUUGAUAGCGAACUCUAGAAAGAACAUCCCUAUAACUACAUUUAAAGGUAAAAUCACUUAUUUUAACAAUAGAUAUGAAGGUUUUUUUUGCAUUUUUGUAAAUACAUUGCAAAAUUUAACAAAAGAGUGACACGCACACCCUCGCCUACAUCUAUGGAGCUGAGGUGGAGCAAGUUAACAGCUCUGAGUUCCUGGGAAUCAGCUCCACAAACAGCACCUGAUGAGGUUAUUAUUACACAUCUCCAUCAUAGAGAAGCCAGCUCAUACACAGCUGUAUUUAUUUAGGACACUUAAAAUUGCUAUUCCAGUGCCAAGGUUCUGUCAAACCAUACACACUGCAGCCACAACCUGCUGCCAGGGAGAGAUGAGAAGUAUAAGCUACCAAGCUGAAAAACAGCUUAUUUCCUCUGGCUGUCC